GACGAACGCUGGCGGCGUGCCUAAUACAUGCAAGUAGAACGCUGAAGAGAGGAGCUUGCUCUUCUUGGAUGAGUUGCGAACGGGUGAGUAACGCGUAGGUAACCUGCCUUGUAGCGGGGGAUAACUAUUGGAAACGAUAGCUAAUACCGCAUAACAAUGGAUGACACAUGUCAUUUAUUUGAAAGGGGCAAUUGCUCCACUACAAGAUGGACCUGCGUUGUAUUAGCUAGUAGGUGAGGUAAUGGCUCACCUAGGCGACGAUACAUAGCCGACCUGAGAGGGUGAUCGGCCACACUGGGACUGAGACACGGCCCAGACUCCUACGGGAGGCAGCAGUAGGGAAUCUUCGGCAAUGGGGGCAACCCUGACCGAGCAACGCCGCGUGAGUGAAGAAGGUUUUCGGAUCGUAGAGCUCUGUUGUAAGUCAAGAACGGGUGUGAGAGUGGAAAGUUCACACUGUGACGGUAGCUUACCAGAAAGGGACGGCUAACUACGUGCCAGCAGCCGCGGUAAUACGUAGGUCCCGAGCGUUGUCCGGAUUUAUUGGGCGUAAAGCGAGCGCAGGCGGUUUGAUAAGUCUGAAGUUAAAGGCUGUGGCUCAACCAUAGUUCGCUUUGGAAACUGUCAAACUUGAGUGCAGAAGGGGAGAGUGGAAUUCCAUGUGUAGCGGUGAAAUGCGUAGAUAUAUGGAGGAACACCGGUGGCGAAAGCGGCUCUCUGGUCUGUAACUGACGCUGAGGCUCGAAAGCGUGGGGAGCGAACAGGAUUAGAUACCCUGGUAGUCCACGCCGUAAACGAUGAGUGCUAGGUGUUGGAUCCUUUCCGGGAUUCAGUGCCGCAGCUAACGCAUUAAGCACUCCGCCUGGGGAGUACGACCGCAAGGUUGAAACUCAAAGGAAUUGACGGGGGCCCGCACAAGCGGUGGAGCAUGUGGUUUAAUUCGAAGCAACGCGAAGAACCUUACCAGGUCUUGACAUCCCGAUGCUAUUUCUAGAGAUAGAAAGUUACUUCGGUACAUCGGUGACAGGUGGUGCAUGGUUGUCGUCAGCUCGUGUCGUGAGAUGUUGGGUUAAGUCCCGCAACGAGCGCAACCCCUAUUGUUAGUUGCCAUCAUUCAGUUGGGCACUCUAGCGAGACUGCCGGUAAUAAACCGGAGGAAGGUGGGGAUGACGUCAAAUCAUCAUGCCCCUUAUGACCUGGGCUACACACGUGCUACAAUGGUUGGUACAACGAGUUGCGAGUCGGUGACGGCGAGCUAAUCUCUUAAAGCCAAUCUCAGUUCGGAUUGUAGGCUGCAACUCGCCUACAUGAAGUCGGAAUCGCUAGUAAUCGCGGAUCAGCACGCCGCGGUGAAUACGUUCCCGGGCCU
This 1369-nucleotide ribosomal RNA is filed under the name uncultured bacterium. RNAcentral describes it as "bacterial SSU rRNA". It matches the Rfam family "Bacterial small subunit ribosomal RNA", at positions 28 to 1381 of the family's 1533-position model. The record is from RNAcentral.